GGGAAACUAAAGAAAACGGAGAAAAACAAAAUACAAACCGGAAUGAAAACAAAACGCUGGGAAACCCUGAAAAUGAAAGGCUUUUUGCAAAAGUAAACUUGUCUUUUGUGAAGUGGAACCUUUGUUAAACUAAAUGGACGAAAUUUUCUUUCUCAUUAUGCUAUUUUUGAGUAGCAUGUACACCAGUCUGAUGGGACUUUUUCAUCUUCCGUCUAAUUUUGAGAGCUGCAGCCAAACGUUAAGAAAUCAGCUUGCUGUGUGAAACUGAGUACAGGUUCAUGGUUACUGUGAAGAGCUGUUUGUGUUUCAUCAGAACUUUAUAUACAGCUUGUACAGUUUUUAAGAUGUUUUAUUGACAUGUUGUAUUUUAAGUAAAUACUUCUGAAGUGAAAUAAAGAAAAAGAAUGUUA
Trichomycterus rosablanca is the source of this 410-nucleotide long non-coding RNA. RefSeq lists it as uncharacterized. The transcript has 3 exons. NCBI's taxonomy places the organism in Eukaryota, Metazoa, Chordata, Actinopteri, Siluriformes, Trichomycteridae. The record is from RefSeq and is a predicted model, not a curated record.